UGGGGAAUAUUGCACAAUGGGCGAAAGCCUGAUGCAGCAACGCCGCGUGAGUGAUGAAGGUCUUCGGAUUGUAAAGCUCUGUCUUUUGGGACGAUAAUGACGGUACCAAAGGAGGAAGCCACGGCUAACUACGUGCCAGCAGCCGCGGUAAUACGUAGGUGGCGAGCGUUGUCCGGAUUUACUGGGCGUAAAGGGUGCGUAGGCGGAUGUUUAAGUGAGAUGUGAAAUACCCGGGCUUAACUUGGGUGCUGCAUUUCAAACUGGAUAUCUAGAGUGCAGGAGAGGAGAAUGGAAUUCCUAGUGUAGCGGUGAAAUGCGUAGAGAUUAGGAAGAACACCAGUGGCGAAGGCGAUUCUCUGGACUGUAACUGACGCUGAGGCACGAAAGCGUGGGUAGCANA
RNAcentral lists this ribosomal RNA (400 nucleotides) under uncultured bacterium. Its description in RNAcentral is "partial 16S ribosomal RNA". It matches the Rfam family "Bacterial small subunit ribosomal RNA", at positions 355 to 772 of the family's 1533-position model. The record is from RNAcentral.